Molecule: non-coding RNA, 132 nt
Filed under: Sporobacter termitidis
Lineage: Bacteria; Bacillati; Bacillota; Clostridia; Eubacteriales; Oscillospiraceae
Also listed under: 1 other name
Description: MoCo sequence
Rfam family: Molybdenum/Tungsten riboswitch aptamer (Moco RNA motif)
Source: RNAcentral
CUGAUAAUCUGUUUCCGAGCCAAAUGGUCUAAAGGUUUCGACCAUGACGUUUGGCCUGAGCCCUCGGGCUCGCGGGGUAUGGCUGGAAACGGCCCUGCCUUCCUUUUGAGAAGGAGACAAAUAGGUGCGGGA